This 658-nucleotide ribosomal RNA is filed under the name Coriolopsis retropicta. RNAcentral describes it as "eukaryotic LSU rRNA". The stretch from base 238 to 391 matches the Rfam family "5.8S ribosomal RNA". The record is from RNAcentral. Lineage: Eukaryota; Fungi; Basidiomycota; Agaricomycetes; Polyporales; Polyporaceae.
UCCGUAGGUNAACCUGCGGAAGGAUCAUUAUCGAAUUUUUAGCUUGGUUGUAGCUGGCCUUCCNGGGCAUUGUGCACGCCUUGCUUAAAAUCCACUCUACACCUGUGCACUUACUGUGGGUUUCGGAAGUUGCAAAGCCAGAGAGUUACAUCUUUGGUAGAGCGCUUCUGGGCCUGCGUUUAUCACAAACACUUUAAAGUAUUAGAAUGUUUAUUAUGAUGUAACGCAUCUAUAUACAACUUUCAGCAACGGAUCUCUUGGCUCUCGCAUCGAUGAAGAACGCAGCGAAAUGCGAUAAGUAAUGUGAAUUGCAGAAUUCAGUGAAUCAUCGAAUCUUUGAACGCACCUUGCGCUCCUUGGUAUUCCGAGGAGCAUGCCUGUUUGAGUGUCAUGAAAUUCUCAACCUAUUAUGCCUUUGCGGGUUCUUAAUAGGCUUGGACUUGGAGGCUUUGUCGGUUCUAGUUAAUCGGCUCCUCUUANAUGCAUUAGCUUGAUUCCUUGCGGAUCGGCUGUCGGUGUGAUAAUUGUCUACGCCGCGACCGUGAANCGUUUUGGCAAGCUUCUAACCGUCUUUUUAUAANGACAAUUUAUUAUGACCUCUGACCUCANAUCAGGGUAGGAUUACCCGCUGAANUUANGCAUAUCAAUAGCCGAGGGA